RNAcentral lists this ribosomal RNA (211 nucleotides) under uncultured bacterium. RNAcentral describes it as "partial 16S ribosomal RNA". It matches the Rfam family "Bacterial small subunit ribosomal RNA", at positions 1290 to 1500 of the family's 1533-position model. The record is from RNAcentral.
AGUUCGGAUUGUAGUCUGCAACCCGACUACAUGAAGCUGGAAUCGCUAGUAAUCGCGGAUCAGAAUGCCGCGGUGAAUACGUUCCCGGGUCUUGUACACACCGCCCGUCACACCAUGGGAGCCGGAAAUGCCCGAAGUCAGUGACCCAACCGCAAGGAGGGAGCUGCCGAAGGUGGAGCUGGUAACUGGGGUGAAGUCGUAACAAGGUAGC